CGCACUUGGCAUCUGGUCCUCA
This 22-nucleotide microRNA is filed under the name Sus scrofa (pig). Its description in RNAcentral is "ssc-mir267". Lineage: Eukaryota; Metazoa; Chordata; Mammalia; Artiodactyla; Suidae. The record is from RNAcentral.